AAUUUUGCGCAAUGGGCGAAAGCCUGACGCAGCAACACCGCGUGAAUGUUAAGCCCUUCGGGGUGUAAAGUUCUGUCAGUGGGGACGAAAUAUGACGGUACCCACAAAGGAAGCACCGGCUAACUCCGUGCCAGCAGCCGCGGUAAUACGGGGGGUGCAAGCGUUGUCCGGAAUCAUUGGGCGUAAAGCGUUCGUAGGCGGCAUGUCAAGUCUGGUGUUAAAGCCCGGGGCUCAACUCCGGUUCGGCACUGGAUACUGGCAAGCUAGAAUGUGGUAGAGGUAAGGGGAAUUCCUGGUGUAGCGGUGAAAUGCGUAGAUAUCAGGAGGAACAUCGGUGGCGAAAGCGCCUUACUGGGCCAUUAUUGACGCUGAGGAACGAAAGCCGGGGGAGCAAAUGGG
RNAcentral lists this ribosomal RNA (399 nucleotides) under uncultured bacterium. RNAcentral describes it as "bacterial SSU rRNA". It matches the Rfam family "Bacterial small subunit ribosomal RNA", at positions 360 to 776 of the family's 1533-position model. The record is from RNAcentral.